RNAcentral lists this ribosomal RNA (253 nucleotides) under uncultured bacterium. Its description in RNAcentral is "partial 16S ribosomal RNA". It matches the Rfam family "Bacterial small subunit ribosomal RNA", at positions 524 to 776 of the family's 1533-position model. The record is from RNAcentral.
UACAGAGGAGCCAAGCGUUGUCCGGAUUGACUGGGCGUAAAGCGCACGCAGGCGGAUGCGCGCGUGGGGUGUGAAAUCUGGCCGCUUAACGGCCAGGCGCCAUCGCAUACGGCGCGUCUGGAGUGAUGCAGAGGUCGAUGGAAUUGCCGGUGUAGUGGUGAAAUUCGUAGAUAUUCGCAAGAACACCAGUGGCGAAGGCGGCUCACUGGCCCGAUACUGACGCUGAGGCACGAAAGCGUGGGGAGCAAACAGG